CCAGUAUAUAUCAUGUUUGUGUUUUUUUAACUUCCUGGGGUAUCAAGGAGUCAUACAGCUUUCUGUCAUGGAAAGCUUCCUCAAAGAGCUGAGGAGAGAGAGUCAGCAUACACAGGUGGCUUCCAGUUGCUCUGAAGGUUUUGAGACGAUGGCCAUGAGAAGCUGGAAGGGCAGAACUGGAAGAAAAAUAAAGGGUGAAGAAGGAAUGGUAUUGGGAAAAGCUGUUGGUUAUAGACUGUUCCCUGAAUACACCUGUAGACACUCAAAAGAGUGCCAUUCCUGCCAGUACUUUACGGUGGUUGUUUUCCUGAAACUUCACAAGUUGAACAUUAGUUUUUUGGGUAGUACAUUACUAAUAGAGCUAUGGUUGAGCAUCGAAUAACAUGGGAUCUCAGAAACUGUUUUCACUCAGUGGGACUGUCAUCCUGCCUUUCGCUUCAGAAACACAAAAGGAUGGAUAUAGUCUUUGCCUAGCUGAAUUUAGUAACUCAGGUGUUAUUGAUUGAAUUGAACAAUUUAUUUAUUUUUUUCCUGGGUUUUAAAGAGUAGUUAGAUCUCUCCAUUAGAACAGUUUUUGAAAGCAAACUCAUGUAGAAAUGCAGAUGGUAGUUGGCAGCCACUAGCCUAAUGAUAGAGUGUAUUUGUAAUGCUAAUAACUCAUUAUCCAUGGAAAUAUAGCAAUUUUUAAGUAAAUAUAAAGAAAGCUGAAAAGAGAAGGCUAGUGUAAUGCAUUCUUUAAGAAGAAAGAACUAGACAAUGUGACUUUUUUUCUUUCUAAUCCUUGGCUACUAGCUGCAGGCUGUUACUGAACAUACCACUGUGCCCCAGCACAUCUGUACAUAUUUAGACACUUUGGUAUAAUCCAUGAGAAAAAUCUUGCAAACAUGCUUGUUGUUUGAGGUUCUGCCCUACCACUAGGAUAUGUUAACUAGUUAAAGUGAAGCCACUAAUUUAGAUUGUUUAUAAAGAAGUUUAUUAUUGGUGGCUUUUGUGGAACACAUUAAGUGUGUAGAUUUCAGAGCAAGGAAACUCAUUACCCCCUUUUUUAUUUAUUUAAUUGUAUGAAAAUCUCAGGUGGAAGAGAGCUUCUUAAAUGAAUAUGGUCUGUUUUUAGUGUCUGCAAAAAGUCUGUCUGUCUGGUGUAACCAGUCUUCUUGGCACAGUGGCAAAGUGGG
This 1175-nucleotide long non-coding RNA is filed under the name Anser brachyrhynchus (Pink-footed goose). RNAcentral's name for it is "lncRNA (ENSABRG00000007794.1)". The record is from RNAcentral. Lineage: Eukaryota; Metazoa; Chordata; Aves; Anseriformes; Anatidae.